This 248-nucleotide signal recognition particle RNA is filed under the name Mytilus galloprovincialis (Mediterranean mussel). It matches the Rfam family "Metazoan signal recognition particle RNA", at positions 17 to 264 of the family's 299-position model. Rfam says of the family: The signal recognition particle (SRP) is a universally conserved ribonucleoprotein. The record is from RNAcentral. Lineage: Eukaryota; Metazoa; Mollusca; Bivalvia; Mytilida; Mytilidae.
UGCUCCUGUGAUCCAGCUACCUGGAGACCGGAGUCGGUGAAACGGUGUGAGGGCAGGAGUCCUGCUUUCAGGUGUUCUAUGUUGAGCGGGCGUCCGCACUAAGAUCGGUAUCAAUAUGGGCACACCGAGGGAGCUCAGUGUGACCAGGUUGUCUAAGGAGGGACGUACAGGCCAAGGGCGGAAACGCAGCAGGCAAAAGUCCCCGUGUCGAUCAGUAGUGGGAUCGCGCCUGUGAAUAGGCAUCUGUC